This 1763-nucleotide ribosomal RNA is filed under the name Rhodococcus sp. 1139. Its description in RNAcentral is "bacterial LSU rRNA". It matches the Rfam family "Bacterial large subunit ribosomal RNA", at positions 1 to 1551 of the family's 2925-position model. The record is from RNAcentral. Lineage: Bacteria; Bacillati; Actinomycetota; Actinomycetes; Mycobacteriales; Nocardiaceae.
ACAGUGGACGCGAGCAUCUUUGUUGUAAGUAAUGAAGAGCGUACGGUGGAUGCCUUGGCACCAGGAGCCGAUGAAGGACGUAGGAGGCUGCGAUAAGCCUCGGGGAGCUGUCAACCGAGCUGUGAUCCGAGGAUGUCCGAAUGGGGAAACCCAGCACGAGUGAUGUCGUGUUACCCGCGCCUGAAUAUAUAGGGCGUGUGGAGGGAACGUGGGGAAGUGAAACAUCUCAGUACCCACAGGAAGAGAAAACAACCGUGAUUCCGUGAGUAGUGGCGAGCGAAAGCGGAAGAGGCUAAACCAUGGGUGUGUGAUAGCCGGCAGGCGUUGCAUUCGUGGGGUUGUGGGGUUCAUUUUGUCUGUUCUGCCGAGCAGGCCAACAGUAAGAAAUCACAGGGUUAGUGGAAGUGGUCUGGAACGGCCUGUCGUAGAGGGUGAGAAUCCCGUACACGAAAACUUUGUGACUGUUGUAAUGGAAACCCAAGUAGCACCGGGCCCGUGAAAUCUGGUGUGAAUCUGUCGGGACCACCCGAUAAGCCUGAAUACUCCCUGGUGACCGAUAGCGGACUAGUACCGUGAGGGAAAGGUGAAAAGUACCCCGGGAGGGGAGUGAAAUAGUACCUGAAACCGUGCGCUUACAAUCCGUCAGAGCCUUCGAGCAGUUUACUGCUGGGGGUGAUGGCGUGCCUUUUGAAGAAUGAGCCUGCGAGUUAGUGGCAUGUCGCGAGGUUAACCCGUGUGGGGUAGCCGUAGCGAAAGCGAGUCCGAAUAGGGCGAUCGUAGUGGCAUGCUCUAGACCCGAAGCGGAGUGAUCUACCCAUGGCCAGGUUGAAGCGACGGUAAGACGUCGUGGAGGACCGAACCCACUUAGGUUGAAAACUGAGGGGAUGAGUUGUGGGUAGGGGUGAAAGGCCAAUCAAACUCCGUGAUAGCUGGUUCUCCCCGAAAUGCAUUUAGGUGCAGCGUCGCGUGUUUCUCACCGGAGGUAGAGCUACUGGAUGGUCUAGGGGGCCCACAAGCUUACCGAAAUCAGCCAAACUCCGAAUGCCGGUGAGUGAGAGCGCGGCAGUGAGACUGCGGGCGAUAAGGUUCGUAGUCGAGAGGGAAACAGCCCAGAUCGCCAGCUAAGGUCCCUAAGCGUGUACUAAGUGGAAAAGGAUGUGGGGUCGCGAAGACAACCAGGAGGUUGGCUUAGAAGCAGCCACCCUUGAAAGAGUGCGUAAUAGCUCACUGGUCAAGUGAUCCUGCGCCGACAAUGUAGCGGGGCUCAAGUACACCACCGAAGCUGCGGCAUUCACGCAAUAGCCCCCCUUCACUCUGCGGAGUGUUGGGCAGGUGUGUGGAUGGGUAGGGGAGCGUCGUGUGGCCAUGGAAGCGGCAGGGUGACCUAGCCGUGGAGGCCACACGAGUGAGAAUGCAGGCAUGAGUAGCGAAAGACGAGUGAGAAACUCGUCCGCCGAAUGACCAAGGGUUCCUGGGCCAGGUUAAUCCGCCCAGGGUGAGUCGGGACCUAAGACGAGGCCGACAGGCGUAGCCGAUGGACAACGGGUUGAUAUUCCCGUACCCGUGUGAACGCGCCCAUGGUGAAUCAGUGAUACUAACCAUCCUGAAGCCACGAGAAGACCUUCGGGUCUCGAGUUGGUGGAUGCAUGGGACCUGAUCUGGUAGUAGCCAAGCGAUGGGGUGACGCAGGAAGGUAGCUGAGCCAGUCAGUGGUAAUACUGGUGUAAGCGUGUAGGGCGUGACCUAGGCAAAUCCGGGUCGCA